CCUACGGGAGGCAGCAGUGAGGAAUAUUGGUCAAUGGCCGGAAGGCUGAACCAGCCAAGCCGCGUGAAGGACGAAGGUGCCAAGCAUUGUAAACUUCUUUUGUCAAGGGACAAAAUCAGGCUCGAGAGCCUGACCGCGGGUACUUUAAGAAAAAGCAUCGGCUAACUCCGUGCCAGCAGCCGCGGUAAUACGGAGGAUCCGAGCGUUAUCCGGAUUUAUUGGGUUUAAAGGGAGCGUAGAUGGGUUGUUAAGUCAGUUGUGAAAGUUUGCGGCUCAACCGUAAAAUUGCAAUGGAUACUGGCAGCCUUGAGUACAGUUGAGGUAGGCGGAAUUCGUGGUGUAGCGGUGAAAUGCUUAGAUAUCACGAAGAACUCCGAUUGCGAAGGCAGCUUACUAAACUGCCACUGACAUUGAUGCUCGAAAGUGUGGGUAUCAAACAGGAUUAGAUACCCCAGUAGUC
This 460-nucleotide ribosomal RNA is filed under the name uncultured bacterium. Its description in RNAcentral is "partial 16S ribosomal RNA". It matches the Rfam family "Bacterial small subunit ribosomal RNA", at positions 338 to 795 of the family's 1533-position model. The record is from RNAcentral.